GACGAACGCUGGCGGCGUGCCUAAUACAUGCAAGUAGAACGCUGAAGAGAGGAGCUUGCUCUUCUUGGAUGAGUUGCGAACGGGUGAGUAACGCGUAGGUAACCUGCCUUGUAGCGGGGGAUAACUAUUGGAAACGAUAGCUAAUACCGCAUAACAAUGGAUGACACAUGUCAUUUAUUUGAAAGGGGCAAUUGCUCCACUACAAGAUGGACCUGCGUUGUAUUAGCUAGUAGGUGAGGUAAUGGCUCACCUAGGCGACGAUACAUAGCCGACCUGAGUGGGUGAUCGGCCACACUGGGACUGAGACACGGCCCAGACUCCUACGGGAGGCAGCAGUAGGGAAUCUUCGGCAAUGGGGGCAACCCUGACCGAGCAACGCCGCGUGAGUGAAGAAGGUUUUCGGAUCGUAAAGCUCUGUUGUAAGUCAAGAACGGGUGUGAGAGUGGAAAGUUCACACUGUGACGGUAGCUUACCAGAAAGGGACGGCUAACUACGUGCCAGCAGCCGCGGUAAUACGUAGGUCCCGAGCGUUGUCCGGAUUUAUUGGGCGUAAAGCGAGCGCAGGCGGUUUGAUAAGUCUGAAGUUAAAGGCUGUGGCUCAACCAUAGUUCGCUUUGGAAACUGUCAAACUUGAGUGCAGAAGGGGAGAGUGGAAUUCCAUGUGUAGCGGUGAAAUGCGUAGAUAUAUGGAGGAACACCGGUGGCGAAAGCGGCUCUCUGGUCUGUAACUGACGCUGAGGCUCGAAAGCGUGGGGAGCGAACAGGAUUAGAUACCCUGGUAGUCCACGCCGUAAACGAUGAGUGCUAGGUGUUGGAUCCUUUCCGGGAUUCAGUGCCGCAGCUAACGCAUUAAGCACUCCGCCUGGGGAGUACGACCGCAAGGUUGAAACUCAAAGGAAUUGACGGGGGCCCGCACAAGCGGUGGAGCAUGUGGUUUAAUUCGAAGCAACGCGAAGAACCUUACCAGGUCUUGACAUCCCGAUGCUAUUUCUAGAGAUAGAAAGUUACUUCGGUACAUCGGUGACAGGUGGUGCAUGGUUGUCGUCAGCUCGUGUCGUGAGAUGUUGGGUUAAGUCCCGCAACGAGCGCAACCCCUAUUGUUAGUUGCCAUCAUUCAGUUGGGCACUCUAGCGAGACUGCCGGUAAUAAACCGGAGGAAGGUGGGGAUGACGUCAAAUCAUCAUGCCCCUUAUGACCUGGGCUACACACGUGCUACAAUGGUUGGUACAACGAGUUGCGAGUCGGUGACGGCGAGCUAAUCUCUUAAAGCCAAUCUCAGUUCGGAUUGUAGGCUGCAACUCGCCUACAUGAAGUCGGAAUCGCUAGUAAUCGUGGAUCAGCACGCCGCGGUGAAUACGUUCCCGGGCCU
This 1369-nucleotide ribosomal RNA is filed under the name uncultured bacterium. Its description in RNAcentral is "bacterial SSU rRNA". It matches the Rfam family "Bacterial small subunit ribosomal RNA", at positions 28 to 1381 of the family's 1533-position model. The record is from RNAcentral.